UACGAAGAGUGCAAGCGUUACUCGGAAUUACUGGGCGUAAAGCGUGCGUAAGUGGUUCGUUAAGUCUGAUGUGAAAGCCCUGGGCUCAACCUGGGAAUUGCAUUGGAUACUGGCGGACUAGAGUGCGGUAGAGGAUAACGGAAUUCCCGGUGUAGCAGUGAAAUGCGUAGAGAUCAGAAAGAACAUCUGUGACGAAAACGGCCAUCUGGACCAGCACUGACACUGAGGCACGAAAGCGUAGGAAGCAAACAGG
Molecule: ribosomal RNA, 253 nt
Filed under: uncultured bacterium
Lineage: Bacteria
Description: partial 16S ribosomal RNA
Rfam family: Bacterial small subunit ribosomal RNA
Source: RNAcentral